CUCCAUGUUCCAUGUUCCAAGUUCUAUGCUCCGUUCACCACAGCAUAAGAACACAGUCUGUUGCACAUCCAGUCAGUCAGUUUCAAACCUCGCAUCUACACACUGAAGUUUUCCGGACCUACACUUGCAGAAAGCAACCAUGUAAUGCCUCAGGAGUCUGUAGAGGGGACGAAGACGCGUUCUGCUGCACUUAACAGAGCUCAAGACCAACGAGACGCCAUCCGGACGCCACGUCAAUGGGACGCCAUCCGGACGCCACGUCAAUGGGACGCCAUCCGGACGCCACGUCAACGGGACGCCAUCAAGACGUCACGUCAACCCCUCAGGAGCAAAUGGGACCAACAGGACGCCAUCAGGAC
This is a non-coding RNA of Gasterosteus aculeatus aculeatus (three-spined stickleback), 359 nucleotides long. The record is from RefSeq and is a predicted model, not a curated record. NCBI's taxonomy places the organism in Eukaryota, Metazoa, Chordata, Actinopteri, Perciformes, Gasterosteidae.